RNAcentral lists this unclassified non-coding RNA (317 nucleotides) under Hevea brasiliensis (rubber tree). The record is from RNAcentral. Lineage: Eukaryota; Viridiplantae; Streptophyta; Magnoliopsida; Malpighiales; Euphorbiaceae.
AGAGAUUUUGUAAGUUAAUAGACAUGGAAGAUGAGCAGGGCGGCGGCGGUAGUAGUAGUAACUUGGAUACAGGAAAGGCGGACAGAUCAGUGUGGCUGAUGAAGUGCCCGUUGCUAGUCGCUAAGUCAUGGCAGUCUCAUCCUCCAUCUGAUCCUCUCCCUCUCGCUAAGGUCAUUCUUUCUCUCGAUCCUCUUCAAUCCGACGAAUCCUCUUCUCUACAGUUCAAGAUGGAGAUGGCUGGAACUGAGACUGGAAACGUGCCAAAAAGUUUUUCCCUAAAUAUGUUUAAAGACUUUGUUCCAAUGUGUGUCUUUUCA